Molecule: long non-coding RNA, 2077 nt
Filed under: Homo sapiens (human)
Lineage: Eukaryota; Metazoa; Chordata; Mammalia; Primates; Hominidae
Description: non-protein coding lnc-PCBP3-3:10
Source: RNAcentral
GGAAGAUGGGGGCACCUACAGUUGCAAGGUGGGCACCAGUUGUCAGGAGUUGACAGGAGGGCAUAGCCAGGAACAGCUGGUGUCUCCUUACUGGGACAUGCUGUGACCUGUAGAAUCGUGUCUGACCAUUUCUGGAGGAUGCAGUACUGAAUUCAAGUAACAAGGUGUCCUGUGAACCCCCCACAGUCAGAUGGGUGAGGGAUGGGGAGGGUCACGCAGGGUGUGGGCGGCGUGCCUGGCAUGGGUCCUGCCAAGUUCGUCAGGUAACGUGAUACUUCUCCCUUGCUUUUUGGUAGAUGGACAGUGUGUCACCCUCGGGGAGCAGGUGGGCUGGCAGGACAGGCGGCCCCAGGCCGGGAGAAGGAGACACUCCCAGUGUUCAAUAGGGCCGUCAAGGUUGGCCUUAUUAAGAAGGUGAUGUUAAAGGAAAGAUGAGGGUGUGAGCCAUGGAUGAGGAGCAAUCCGGGCAGAGGAGUCCCCAGCACGAAGGCUUUAAGGUGGAGGACAACCCGGGGCCAGUGUGGCCGGAGCAGAGCGAGCAAGGGAGAGCAUCAGGGGCUGAGUUCCAGGAGACAGCACAAGUCAGUCUUCUGGUGAUUGUAACAGGAUGGUCACCUGAGAACAGUCAUCUACUGACACCCUGAACCAGAAUCUCCAGAAAAGACAGAAAUUUUGAAACAGCAGCAACAACAGAAAUUCAUGAUGUGCUAGGAGACAGGGAUGACUGCAGUCAGAGGACCAGAUGUCUUGAUUGAUUAUUAAGAGAGAGAAACAGGCGAUGUUUGUGGAAUCACAUCACCACAGAAGACAUGCAGACAGGCCUAAUGCAGAGAAGAGUGGAAGUUAGGACGCUCAGCGCAGAUUAAUGGACUCAGGGAGUUGGAGAGGGCUGGCUGGCAGCACUUACUCAGAGGAGCAGAGCCAGGUAUCCCCCUCAAACCCCCCGGCUUUGGGCCCAGGCAGUCAGAAGUUGUGUCGGGGCCAGCCACCAACUCCAGUGAGGGACAGGGAGCCACUUCCAGGAGAUGAAACAUUGUCACAUGCAGUCCAAAGACACCCCUCCUUCUCCCUGCUGCAACACCCGAGGCUGACCAAAGUAGACAGGAACAGUAUCCAGGAUGAGCAAACCAAGCCUCUCUAAAGCAAAACUGCCAACAAGCUGGGAACCACAGCACGCUGGAGGGAAACCAGCAGCAGGAGAAAGCAGCAGCAAGCACAGCAGAAAGAAGACGUGGGGCCGCCUUCCGGACGGAGACUCGGUCAGACACACGGCUCCUUCAAAGGGAGUGCCAAAGGCCUUGAAGAGUAGACGGUCAAAGUGGCACAGCCAGGAAAGCAGGACUCACAGAAUGGGCAGCAUGAAGAGUUGCAUAGCCACGGACUAUUGAGAACGCAGACCCAGAACUGUUACCGCACUCAGACGUCAAAAACCGAGAGCUAUUCCCGAGCACAGACCGAGGACCAGCGAGUCCAGGACUCGCUGAUGCAGAGCUCCAGGACUGACAGGCGGGGAGAGCGAGAGGAAAAGCUGAGGCCAAGCGCGAUGCUGAGAAGCUCCAUAUUCUGUUUAACAGGAGUCUGAGGACCAGGAAAGAGAGAAUAUUGAGGGGAAGAUAAUGGAGACAUCCUAGAAGAUCGUCUCCCCGAGCACAGAGCGCAUCACAGGACUGACCAGUAUUGAGUGGGCGCGGGGAAAACAUGGCUGCCAGGACCUGUGAGGACCGAGUUUCAGAUACUGUGGACAGCGGAGACUCCACAGGGGCUCUGCAGGAGGAGACGGGAGGCGAUAGCCCCUGCAAAGCUCUGGCUGGUGAUUGGCAUCAGACUUCUCAAUGAGAAACUGUACUCUAGAUUUAAUUAGAACAGUAUCUUCAAAAUACUCGGGAAAAAUGAUUUCAAACCUGGAAUUGUAGACACAGACAGACUAGAAUUCAAAUUGAAGGGCAAAGGAAAAGUGUCUUCAGAUAGUGAAGGACUCAGAGGUUACCAGCCUCAUCCCUAAUACCCUGACAAAACUAAAAAAAAGACAACUAUCUAUGAAAGAAAACAAGUUUUGAUUCCACAAAUAAUGGAGAGG